UAGAACACUGUUUUAAUUUCUUUUUUUGGGGGGGAGGGGGGGUGGUGCUAGAGACUGGAAACCCAGGACCUUGCAUAUGCCAAGCAAGUGCUCUGUACUGAGCUAUACUUCCAUCCAGGUUGAAUGGCUUUUUAAACUUUUAAAGUGCAAUAUGUACCAUUUUUCCCUUGAAAACAAAGUAAAGGUGUUUGCCCAGCUGUUGUGAACAUGGAGGUGAAUGUUCCCAGUCCUGGGACACCUUCUCCUUUGACUGCACUCACUUGGGCUACGCAGGAGCCACCUGCCAUUCCUGCCCUUUCUGCCCAUAAGAACAUGCUUGUACUUAGUGCAGCACAAUGGCUGCCACCUGGCCAGAAUCAAAAGCUCUCAUGGAGAAAACUCCAGCCUGUGAUUUUUAAGAACGUGGUCAGCAUGGACCAACUAAUUGACUAG
Molecule: long non-coding RNA, 432 nt
Filed under: Ictidomys tridecemlineatus (thirteen-lined ground squirrel)
Lineage: Eukaryota; Metazoa; Chordata; Mammalia; Rodentia; Sciuridae
Description: lncRNA (ENSSTOG00000032198.1)
Source: RNAcentral